GUUGUUGUCCUAGAUAUGUGUGGGGUCAAAAAAAUCUAACAUGGAAGAGAUGCUUAAGACAUGGGUUUGGCUUUUUGUCAAUAGAUUUGUUUUAACUACAAUUCAUUGACCUAAUAUGAUUAGGGUUUAUGAUUAUAGAUUAAAUCAGAUUUAUAGUUCUAAUUUAAUUAGAAAUUAUGUUUAAUUAAAGUUGAUCAAAUUGUCAUUGACCUAAUUUGAUUAGAGCUUAAGUCAUAGU
RNAcentral lists this long non-coding RNA (238 nucleotides) under Elaeis guineensis (African oil palm). Its description in RNAcentral is "long non-coding RNA (EGUI_LNC034410)". The record is from RNAcentral. Lineage: Eukaryota; Viridiplantae; Streptophyta; Magnoliopsida; Arecales; Arecaceae.